This 421-nucleotide ribosomal RNA is filed under the name Amietia nutti. RNAcentral describes it as "partial 16S ribosomal RNA". It matches the Rfam family "Bacterial large subunit ribosomal RNA", at positions 1925 to 2512 of the family's 2925-position model. The record is from RNAcentral. Lineage: Eukaryota; Metazoa; Chordata; Amphibia; Anura; Pyxicephalidae.
CAACGGCCGCGGUACCCUAACCGUGCGAAGGUAGCAUAAUCACUUGUUCUUUAAAUAGGGACUAGUAUCAACGGCAUCACGAGGGUUACACUGUCUCCUUUCUCCAAUCAGUGAAACUGAUCUCCCCAUGAAGAAGCGGGGAUAUAACUAUUAGACGAGAAGACCCCAUGGAGCUUUAAGCUCAACAACAAUUUUUAUGAAAAUAAUUCCUCAUAGUAUACAGACCCUGUUUGUUAGCUUUAGGUUGGGGUGACCGCGGAGUAUAAUUUAACCUCCACAACGAAAGGGCAUAAAACCCUUAUCCAAGAGCCACUGCUCUAAGAAUCACCAAAUUGACGUAUAAUGAUCCGAUUUUCGAUCAACGGACCAAGUUACCCUGGGGAUAACAGCGCAAUCCAUUUUUAGAGCCCCUAUCGACAAA